GACGAACGCUGGCGGCGUGCUUAACACAUGCAAGUCGAACGGAAAGGCCCUGCUUUUGUGGGGUGCUCGAGUGGCGAACGGGUGAGUAACACGUGAGUAACCUGCCCUUGACUUUGGGAUAACUUCAGGAAACUGGGGCUAAUACCGGAUAGGGGCUCCUGCUGCAUGGUGGGGGUUGGAAAGUUUCGGCGGUUGGGGAUGGACUCGCGGCUUAUCAGCUUGUUGGUGGGGUAGUGGCUUACCAAGGCUUUGACGGGUAGCCGGCCUGAGAGGGUGACUGGCCACAUUGGGACUGAGAUACGGCCCAGACUCCUACGGGAGGCAGCAGUGGGGAAUAUUGCACAAUGGGCGGAAGCCUGAUGCAGCAACGCCGCGUGCGGGAUGACUGCCUUCGGGUUGUAAACCGCUUUCGCCUGUGACGAAGCGUGAGUGACGGUAAUGGGUAAAGAAGCACCGGCUAACUACGUG
This 468-nucleotide ribosomal RNA is filed under the name uncultured bacterium. RNAcentral's name for it is "partial 16S ribosomal RNA". It matches the Rfam family "Bacterial small subunit ribosomal RNA", at positions 28 to 507 of the family's 1533-position model. The record is from RNAcentral.